This is an unclassified non-coding RNA of Orbicella faveolata, 4454 nucleotides long. NCBI's taxonomy places the organism in Eukaryota, Metazoa, Cnidaria, Anthozoa, Scleractinia, Merulinidae. The record is from RefSeq and is a predicted model, not a curated record.
AAAGAUGGCGGGAUGGCGGGAGAAAAUGAUUGUUAGGCUUGCGGAAAUUGAAAAAGAGCUUUCAAUCGGUUGAACAAAAACGAGAUGCGAUAUUCCAGUCGAUUGACACAGUAAUGUUAAGAGUCCAAGAUGUAAAGCGUCAUUUAUAACUGCGCUUUCUUGUAAGAUCUUGUCUGUGGAACCUGAAAAGAACAGCGCAUAGGAUCGCAAACCUCUUAAUUACACGCCAUGUCAUCGAUCAUUCUUCUUGUUGGGCAGUGUGGUAAUCAAGUAGGACAUGAACUAAUGAGCUUGAUUGACAAGAGUGACACCCACCCACUUAGCCACAGGGAUGGCAAACUAAGAUGUGUCUGUGUGGACAGCGAAACCAAGGUCAUUAACCAUAAUUAUCGCGAAGACACAAGAUCAGGAAGAUUGUAUAGGGAAGGAAAUAUGAUCUCAGGUCAGCGAGGAAGAGGAAAUAACUGGGCAUUAGGUUAUCAUGGCCUGAGUGGAGAAACAGAAGAAACAUCCUUGUUACACAGGGCCAUGGAAACUGUGAGAAAAGAAGUAGAAAGGUGUGAUAACUAUGCUGGCACUAUUGUGAUCCAUAGUCUCACUGGUGGUACUGGCUCUGGUUUGGGAUCAUGCCUGGUUGAGAGAAUAAGGGACACAUAUCCCUUGGCUCAUGUCAUGUCUGUUGCUGUAUCACCUCACUCAUCUGGUGACAGUCCACUGCAACAUUACAACUCACUUCUCAGUUUGUCAUCCUUACAGCGUCAUGCAGAUGGAGUGUUACUCUUCAGCAAUGAUGAUGUUCUCCACCAUAUCACAGCACACACUGGUCUGCUAUCACGCCAGAAGCCUUCUGGCUCCAUCUCUCUCAGAGACAUGAACAAUUACAUCUCCGCAAGUCUUGCUGGCGUGUUCCAACCUUUGGGAAGCAAGCCAAGACGGAUAAAGGGAAGACUUAAGGAGAAGGGGUUUAAGGGAGGUGUAGAUGUAACCAAUGACAAGAAAGAAAAGAAAAAAAUUCUUAAAGGUGGAGGAAUAUCAAAUAAAACGGACACUAUUUCUAAGAAGCUUUCAUUUUCAUUGGAUGAAUCAUGGGACAGAUCUGAUGUCGGUCAUUACAAGUCUGUGUUUGGUAGAAGUCUUGGCUCUGCAACUUCCUCAUCAGUUAUGUCUGAUGACCACUUUGUGGAUACGUCGUCUUUUACAUCUGAGUUAGAUGGCUACACUGAGAUGACUAGACAACCCAGGUCAACAGCUUCAGCACUGUUACGCUACAGAGGUAUUGUAAAUCCUUCCUCUUCAGAGACCCGCAUGUCCAAGAGUGACACCUGUCUAUCAUCCCAACUGGCAGCUGGUGUUUCAAGUGGCAAUGAGCCAUGGGAGAUGCUUCGGUCUGUUUGUGCCGAGCCAUCAAAGAAAUUUGCCACAGUGCAUCACAUUGCCAAGUCAAAAGUUUCCUGGGAAAGCCUUGCACAGUCUCUCAUACACUCGAUCCGCAGAUAUGAUAGACAGGGAAUGCCAUUCUCUACCAUAUGUUCACUGUUAGUUGCUCGUGGAGAUCAUGAAGGCUCUUUUGCAGAGGUGUGGACAAAAAUUGAAGAUAAGCUGCGAAAUUCACUAUCAUGUGUGGAGUGGAAUCCAUUUCCAGUUGAUUUCUGGAUCAGUCAAUAUAAUCCCGUUGGUCCCAAAGAUUCUCAGUCACUCACUUUGUGCUUGAACUCAACAAAGGUUGUAGAGACAUUAGAGGAUGUCAUGGUAAAAUCAAGAGCAAUGUAUGAUGCUGGAGCUUACCUUCAUUGGUUCUGGAAGCAUGGUUGUUCUAAGAGUGAUUUCAUGGACGCUUUUGACACUCUGGACUCUGUUGUGGAGGAAUACAAGUCGGCGGCGAGAUAACUAAAACCCAUAGCUCCCCCAGUAAGAACGCGGAAGUUUAGGAAACAGAAGGAGAGAUCGAUUUGUCUGUGAGCAAAAUGAACAAAGUAGCACCUUCCCCCUACCCAGAAGUUGGUAAUCGCGUAGACGAUCGCAGAGAUGAUGUGAUCAAAGUAGCACCUGCCCCCUACCCAGAGGUUGGUAAUCGCGUAGACGAUCGCAGAGAUGAUGUGAUCAAAGUAGUAACUGCCCCCUUCCCAGAAGCUGGUAAUCGCGCAGACGAUCGCAGAGAUGAUGAUUUUAUUGCGUGCUGUUCUAAUUUUUGGGAUUGUUGCACUCAGAGUAUGAAGGUGGUACAAACGUGCCUCGAUAUCGUCAAGUGUAUUACAUGUAGCUGUGGUUGAAGCUGUGGCUGCCAGAAAAAGGUUUUGUUGGCCUAGCUUCUCAGUGUAGUUAUCAGUAUUUGAUCGGGUGCAUUACCAUUGACGACUGUAAUAGAUUUUUUUUGUGUGUGUUGUUGUCUGAAUGUCUUAUGUAUAGAUCUGACUUUAAACUGGAAAGCAUAGCCAAAUGAGUGUCUCAUAAGUAGAUAUGUUACUAAACUGGGAUAACAUAACCAAAUGGAACACAAAGAAGUCACCCUACAAUCCUCUCCAAAAGCCUUGGAAUACUUACUUCCAUGUGGGUCAACUUUAUUACCAGUAAAUGAUCAUGUUUUACUACUUUCUUUGCCAUCUGUCCCGAAACAAUAUUCGGACUUGGGUCGAGUCAACUGACGCCCACAGGGACAACAUUUUAAGGAGUGGGGGAGGGGAAGGCAUUUGAAUUACAGUUGACUCCCGGUUACUCGAACUACCGCUAACUCGAAUCUCGCGCUAACUCGCACCAAAAUUGAUUUCCCUGGAUUAGUCCGUUACAUUGACUACAAUUGUACUCGAGCUUCUUGGCUAAAGUGCAGAACAGUACUCUUUUUCGAUCUUUUGUUUCAUUUUGUUAGCAAAAUAUCGUUCCGUUUUUAAGUUUGUAUUCGUAAUGACCCUGACUAAACACAUUGUUUGAAGACUAAUUAAACAUGUGCGUAAAACAUUGUUUCCCCGCUAAUGUUUAGUCAUUUCUGUCACUUCUAACAUUACUCAAAAGUUUUAACAUUUGUUUUGACGGUUCUAGUUACCGGAAAUCAACUGUUAUUGUACUCGUGGGAAGAGACUAGCUUGACACUGAGACUUGUGGCGGGGAUUGUAGCUUGUAAAAACACAUAUACCACCUUGUACUGCAAAGGUUUUUAUACUGCAUGGUAUUCUAGAGAAUAGCUGAUGUUCACAUAACAAUGAAGAACCUCAGUUCGAUGUAACUUUGUUUUAUAUUCGCUAAUUCACAUUUGCAAUCAAGCUAUGCUGGUUUGGAAUAAACUUAGUCUGGAAGUAGAGUCUUGUUUGAGAGUUUGUGGUCCGUUUGAAGUCAGGUCGCUGCAGGCCUUCAGAUUCUGGGUAUCAAAACAUUGAUCUCUACCUCCUCCUAGGACCUCAGGCGUUUCGCAGACACUGAGAACGAGCGCCUAGCGCAAAGGACUACGGGAAGAGGAAAGAAGCGAGCCCAACACCAUCUUUUUCCCUUUCGCAAUCCCUUCCUCCCUUGCGCGCCCAUUGGUUUUUUUCAGCAAAGAGGGUGUGGGUACAAGACAGGAUCUCUACUGUCCUAUAGUGUUUAGUGAGGUUUACAAAUUUGGAUGGGAGCCUUUAGGUUCCGGGUCUUGGGGCACGAUCCCUUAGGAAAUUUACUUUCGUUCCGGCUCGAAAUUGGGAGGGGGGUUGCAGCCCCUACUCCCAAAUCUCCGCCGUCCUUAGCUUUUCCAAUAUCAAACCUUACUCUACAAGUAUUGAACACAAUAAAAACAAGCAAAAAGAAUCAGGAUAUUUACCACGAGAUAAAUUAAAAUAUUUACAAUUCAAGUUGCUUUCUAUGGCGCGUGUAACUUGCAUUUAGUUAGCUUUCAAGCUAUAGAAUUCGUGGACCAACCCGUUCCGAAAACGCUCGGCAUCUCUGAAUGCGAGAUUAGCGUAAAAGGAUGAUUCUUUUCAAAGCUUUCUUCAGAAAACACAGCAUUCUGUCAAUUACGUUGUUCACGAAGAGCAAGCACACGAUUAUUCUCAUCCCCAGGCGAGUUUCCACGCUCUCCGCUAGGAACGCCCGGAACCAUGACCCAAGAAGAAGCCCGAGUAAUAAAGCACCGAGAACAGAUGCUGUAAUAGCCGUACAAAAAGAACGAGCGAGGAUUGGAGGAGUUAAAGAGGAAACUGGAGAGAGACCCUAAUUUUCAUUUCUGUCACGUAACGCAAUCAACUCAAAAUCAAUAUCAAAGGGUGGGGUGAGGUUUUCCUUCAUAACCGAGCCCGAGGCUCAUGUUUUGCAAAACGAAUAACUCUAUCAAGCAAAAAAAUUGCAAAACGUCAAGUUCUUAGGAGGCUUUCAAUGCUAUAAAGCUAAAAAGCUUAGAAAUAUAGGUCGUUGUUAUUUUGAAACUGACCACGUCACGUGAAAAUAGACCUCAUUCUCAAAAGAUGCCGUGAGGAUUUUCAUUGAUUAUAAUU